AUUAACUCUCCUACCAAAAUCUUCUUAAUACACAUGAUUAUAUCAUUUAUACGAAAUCAUUACACAAUUCCAUAUAUAUAUCAAUCUUCGUGUGAAAAGGAAAGUUAAUAUUCUUCACAAAUGUUGCUUUUUGAAAUAAUGUAAUCGAUUUCUUUGCUUAUCCUAUCUCCUUCUUGCCGAAGCCAACAUCUGCUCUCUACCAUCUUCUCACGACCAUCCUCCAGAGACUCUUGAAUUGGUUGUAGAAUCGCUGCACAAGUCAGGAAUGGAUAACACACCUUCCGAAGAAGUCAUAGCACUUGCAGUGACAUCUCACAUGCAACACAUUACUCAAAGAAUCCACCAACUUCAGGAAGAGAUUUCAGUGCGCCCUAUCACGGUAUGUAUAAGAAGUGUUUGGGACAUCAGAAAACACCAAACAUAUAAUACUCAAAUUUGCAUCGGCUUCAUGUGCUACGACCACCACGUAAGCCUUUUAUUAAAACUUUAACAUAUACAUAUAUAUGUAUUUUUCAAUCCAACAUAUUUGAUUUAAACUACUCACUAUUUACUUAAUUGGUUCGGCGCAACAAAAUUUGUUCACAUUCAUGGACAACUAUUUGAAGGUCGGCUCACCGGAAACAUUUAGCCAAAUGACCCAAAAAAUUUAACUGAGGGAGAUAUAUAUGAAUUUUCAGGAUUUUCUGUCAUACAUAAUUCACAACAUCGAAACCUCACCCAACUGCCGUAUUACAUUCAGAUCGACCAAAAGACAAUAACAUCGAAAUUUACAGACAUCGGGCCAAUAUUUCCAGUUCACAAUUUCUCUCCUCAGAAUUACAAAAAUCUAUUGUGCUUAGCCACUACACCCACCCACUUACUAGAUGUCGUCGGGCAGAUACUCUUAAUACAAAAAAGAAAUCCGUACCACCCAUAAAUCAAUACUGAUACCACGAUUGGUCUACUGCUGAACAUGUAAGUCUAACACAAUAGGUAAAAACGAAAUCAUAAUUCUCUUCAUACAUACACCUCUAUCUCAGGUCGAUAAUGGUUAAACUCAUACUGUGCGACAAGUAAGCAGCAGAUUUUAGCAUCCUACAAAGCAAGAAAAAAAAGAAAUUUAAAGUUGUCAUCAUCACAAGCAUAAUUCAUAAACUUUUCCAAGGUAAAUAAUUUUUUUAAACACAUCAAAAAAUAAUACAGAUCUAAAUUUUUUUUUCUCAACAGAACAAUAAUAUCCAAUAUUUUCCAGGCAAACUACUACUCAGUUCAUAACCAGCAACAAAUUUCUACUUCAACAAAUCAAUUGAUUACAUAAAGCAUUUCAAAGAGCGAAUAAGAGAUAAUGCAAAAGCAUGCAGCAAAGAAUGACUUUAAUUCAUGCAUCAUUCGGAUUAUUAUUCUCUUUCCCACACA
Long non-coding RNA from Brassica oleracea var. oleracea, 1395 nucleotides. RefSeq lists it as uncharacterized. NCBI's taxonomy places the organism in Eukaryota, Viridiplantae, Streptophyta, Magnoliopsida, Brassicales, Brassicaceae. The record is from RefSeq and is a predicted model, not a curated record. The transcript is spliced from 4 exons.